Molecule: ribosomal RNA, 253 nt
Filed under: uncultured bacterium
Lineage: Bacteria
Description: partial 16S ribosomal RNA
Rfam family: Bacterial small subunit ribosomal RNA
Source: RNAcentral
UACGUAGGGUGCAAGCGUUGCCCGGAUUUAUUGGGCGUAAAGGGCGCGCAGGCGGCCCGGCAAGUCGCAUGUGAAAUCUCCCGGCUCAACCGGGAGGGGUCGGGGGAUACUGCCAGGCUGGAGCGAGGUAGGGGGCAGUGGAAUUCCCGGUGUAGUGGUGGAAUGCGUAGAGAUCGGGAGGAACACCAGUGGCGAAGGCGACUGCCUGGACCUUUGCUGACGCUGAGGCGCGAAAGCGUGGGGAGCGAUCCGG